Molecule: ribosomal RNA, 458 nt
Filed under: uncultured bacterium
Lineage: Bacteria
Description: partial 16S ribosomal RNA
Rfam family: Bacterial small subunit ribosomal RNA
Source: RNAcentral
CCUACGGGAGGCAGCAGUGGGGAAUAUUGCACAAUGGGGGAAACCCUGAUGCAGCGACGCCGCGUGAGUGAAGAAGUAAUUCGUUACGUAAAGCUCUAUCAGCAGGGAAGAAACACUGACCUUACGGUCAGCAGACGGUACCUGAGUAAGAAGCCCCGGCUAACUACGUGCCAGCAGCCGCGGUAAUACGUAGGGGGCAAGCGUUAUCCGGGUUUACUGGGUGUAAAGGGAGCGUAGACGGGACGCCAAGUCUGGAGUGAAAUGCCGCGGCUUAACUGCGGAACUGCUUUGGAAACUGGCGAACUAGAGUGCGGGAGGGGUAAGCGGAAUUCCUAGUGUAGCGGUGAAAUGCGUAGAUAUUAGGAGGAACACCAGUGGCGAAGGCGGCUUACUGGACCGUAACUGACGUUGAGGCUCGAAAGCGUGGGGAGCAAACAGGAUUAGAUACCCCUGUAGUC